AUUGAACGCUGGCGGAAUGCUUUACACAUGCAAGUCGAACGGCAGCACGGGGGCAGCCCUGGUGGCGAGUGGCGAACGGGUGAGUAAUACAUCGGAACGUGCCCGGUCGUGGGGGAUAAUGUAGCGAAAGUUACGCUAAUACCGCAUACGAUCUGAGGAUGAAAGCGGGGGACCUUCGGGCCUCGCGCGAUCGGAGCGGCCGAUGUCAGAUUAGGUAGUUGGUGGGGUAAAGGCCUACCAAGCCGACGAUCUGUAGCUGGUCUGAGAGGACGACCAGCCACACUGGGACUGAGACACGGCCCAGACUCCUACGGGAGGCAGCAGUGGGGAAUUUUGGACAAUGGGCGCAAGCCUGAUCCAGCCAUUCCGCGUGCAGGACGAAGGCCUUCGGGUUGUAAACUGCUUUUGUACGGAACGAAAAGGCUCUGGCUAAUACCUGGGGCUCAUGACGGUACCGUAAGAAUAAGCACCGGCUAACUACGUG
This 484-nucleotide ribosomal RNA is filed under the name uncultured bacterium. RNAcentral describes it as "partial 16S ribosomal RNA". It matches the Rfam family "Bacterial small subunit ribosomal RNA", at positions 30 to 507 of the family's 1533-position model. The record is from RNAcentral.